AUAUUGGUCAAUGGAGGGAACUCUGAACCAGCCAUGCCGCGUGCAGGAGGAAGGCCCNNNGGGUCNUCAACUGCUUUUGCCGGNGACNAACCGUCCCGACGUGUCGGGACCUGAGUGUACCCGGAGAAUAAGGAUCGGCUAACUCCGUGCCAGCAGCCGCGGUAAUACGGAGGAUCCGAGCGUUAUCCGGAUUUAUUGGGUUUAAAGGGUGCGUAGGCGGCUUUCUAAGUCAGGGGUGAAAUACAGCGGCUCAACCGUUGCAGUGCCUUUGAUACUGGGGGGCUUGAAUGUGGUCGAAGGCGGCGGAAUGGGACAAGUAGCGGUGAAAUGCAUAGAUAUGUCCCAGAACCCCGAUAGCGAAGGCAGCUGCCUAGGCCAUAAUUGACGCUGAUGCACGAAAGCGUGGGGAUCGAACA
This 416-nucleotide ribosomal RNA is filed under the name uncultured bacterium. RNAcentral's name for it is "partial 16S ribosomal RNA". It matches the Rfam family "Bacterial small subunit ribosomal RNA", at positions 361 to 774 of the family's 1533-position model. The record is from RNAcentral.